UGAACCUGCGGAAGGAUCAUA
RNAcentral lists this ribosomal RNA (21 nucleotides) under Neofusicoccum parvum. RNAcentral describes it as "partial 18S ribosomal RNA". RNAcentral also lists the same sequence under 1 other name. The record is from RNAcentral. Lineage: Eukaryota; Fungi; Ascomycota; Dothideomycetes; Botryosphaeriales; Botryosphaeriaceae.